Molecule: ribosomal RNA, 509 nt
Filed under: uncultured glomeraceous AM fungus
Lineage: Eukaryota; Fungi; Glomeromycota; Glomeromycetes; Glomerales; Glomeraceae
Description: SSU rRNA
Rfam family: Eukaryotic small subunit ribosomal RNA
Source: RNAcentral
AGCAGCCGCGGUAAUUCCAGCUCCAAUAGCGUAUAUUAAAGUUGUUGCAGNUAAAAAGCUCGUAGUUGAAUUUCGGGAUCAAUGUUUCGGUCAUGCCCUUGGUAUGUACUGAUAUUAUUGGUUUCUCACCUUCUAAAGAACCGUAAUGCCAUUAAUUUGGUGUCACGGGGAAUUAGGGCUGUUACCUUGAAAAAAUUAGAGUGUUUAAAGCAGGCUCACGCUUGAAUACAUUAGCAUGGAAUAAUGAAAUAGGACAUCCGAUUCUAUUUUGUUGGUUUCUAGGAUCGAUGUAAUGAUUAAUAGGGAUAGUUGGGGGCAUUAGUAUUCAAUUGUCAGAGGUGAAAUUCUUGGAUUUAUUGAAGACUAACUACUGCGAAAGCAUUUGCCAAGGAUGUUUUCAUUAAUCAAGAACGAAAGUUAGGGGAUCGAAGACGAUCAGAUACCGUCGUAGUCUUAACCAUAAACUAUGCCGACUAGGGAUCGGAUGAUGUUAAUUUUUUAAUGACUCA